CCUACGGGUGGCAGCAGUGGGGAAUAUUGCACAAUGGGGGGAACCCUGAUGCAGCGACGCCGCGUGAGUGAAGAAGUAUUUCGGUAUGUAAAGCUCUAUCAGCAGGGAAGAACAUGACGGUACCUGACUAAGAAGCCCCGGCUAACUACGUGCCAGCAGCCGCGGUCAUACGUAGGGGGCAAGCGUUAUCCGGAUUUACUGGGUGUAACGGGAGCGCAGACGGCUGUGCAAGUCUGGAGUGAAAGGCGGGGGCCCAACCCCCGGACGGCUCUGGAAACUGUAAAGCUGGAGUGCAGGAGAGGUAAGCGGAAUUCCUAGUGUAGCGGUGAAAUGCGUAGAUAUUAGGAGGAACACCAGUGGCGAAGGCGGCUUACUGGACUGCAACUGACGUUGAGGCUCGAAAGCGUGGGGAGCAAACAGGAUUAGAUACCCCAGUAGUC
This 440-nucleotide ribosomal RNA is filed under the name uncultured bacterium. Its description in RNAcentral is "partial 16S ribosomal RNA". It matches the Rfam family "Bacterial small subunit ribosomal RNA", at positions 338 to 795 of the family's 1533-position model. The record is from RNAcentral.